GACAGAGGUGCCAAGCGUUAGGCGGAAUCACUGGGCUUAAAGCGUGUGUAGGCGGAUUUGUAAGUACCUUGUGAAAUCCCACGGCUCAACCGUGGAACUGCUCGGUAUACUGCUUAUCUUGAGCCACUUAGGGGCUACCGGAACAAAUGGUGGAGCGGUGAAAUGCGCAGAUAUCAGGAGGAACACCGGUGGCGAAGGCGGGUCUCUGGGCCGUAACUGACGCUGAGGAGCGAAAGCGUGGGGAGCGAACAGG
RNAcentral lists this ribosomal RNA (253 nucleotides) under uncultured bacterium. RNAcentral describes it as "partial 16S ribosomal RNA". It matches the Rfam family "Bacterial small subunit ribosomal RNA", at positions 524 to 776 of the family's 1533-position model. The record is from RNAcentral.